Non-coding RNA from Cinara cedri, 338 nucleotides. The record is from the annotation of a GenBank genome assembly. Lineage: Eukaryota; Metazoa; Arthropoda; Insecta; Hemiptera; Aphididae.
UAUAGGUAUUUUUUAUUUAUGUGUUUUUUUACGUAGUUUUUACUUGGUUGGUACUAUAAUAUAAAUAUACAUAGUCGAUGUACAACGUCCAUGUAAUCUUAGUCAUGACUCAUGGUCUAAGUUCUUAUCAUCUUUUAUGUAAAGGUAUAAAACAUACACCUAUAACCUACAGGGUGUCUCGCGAAAAUAUACCUAUUGCGAUAUCUUCCAUGAUAGUAUUAACUUUUUUUGGGAGUUCUCAUUUUGACUAUAUACUAAACAAGGAGCUCUAAAACGUUACGUUAUCAUUAUUCUUGUUGCCUUUAUUUUCGAGAGAGAAAUGUCUAGGUACCUACUUU